This 305-nucleotide long non-coding RNA is filed under the name Arabidopsis lyrata. Its description in RNAcentral is "long non-coding RNA (ALYR_LNC000531)". The record is from RNAcentral. Lineage: Eukaryota; Viridiplantae; Streptophyta; Magnoliopsida; Brassicales; Brassicaceae.
UGCUAAAUCUAAUGACUCUUUUAAUUAAAAACCCUAGAACAUGUCUUUUAAUUCCUUUUAUGAUUGAGUUUUCUUUAGGAAAAUUGAUAAAAUUGCUUAUUUAAAAUUAGGGACACUUAAUUUAUUCCCAAAACGUGUCGGAAACGUCCCUAUAUCUGUUCCAUCACGUUUCCAUUUUUUGCUGGCGUCCCUAAUAUCUCUGAAACGUGUGGGAAACGUUUUUAGGCUGUCCCCAGCAAGUACCCGUCCCCGAAACGAAGCUGGGACGUGAGACGGCUGAAAAUUAACGUCCCCGUGCAUCAUAG